AUUGAACGCUGGCGGCAUGCCUUACACGUGCAAGUCGAACGGCAGCACGGGUGCUUGCACCUGGUGGCGAGUGGCGAACGGGUGAGUAAUACAUCGGAACAUGUCCUGUAGUGGGGGAUAGCCCGGCGAAAGCCGGAUUAAUACCGCAUACGGUCCACGGAUGAAAGCGGGGGACCUUCGGGCCUCGCGCUAUAGGGUUGGCCGAUGGCUGAUUAGCUAGUUGGUGGGGUAAAGGCCUACCAAGGCGACGAUCAGUAGCUGGUCUGAGAGGACGACCAGCCACACUGGGACUGAGACACGGCCCAGACUCCUACGGGAGGCAGCAGUGGGGAAUUUUGGACAAUGGGCGAAAGCCUGAUCCAGCAAUGCCGCGUGUGUGAAGAAGGCCUUCGGGUUGUAAAGCACUUUUGUCCGGAAAGAAAUCCUUGGCUCUAAUACAGUCGGGGGAUGACGGUACCGGAAGAAUAAGCACCGGCUAACUACGUG
This 486-nucleotide ribosomal RNA is filed under the name uncultured bacterium. RNAcentral's name for it is "partial 16S ribosomal RNA". It matches the Rfam family "Bacterial small subunit ribosomal RNA", at positions 30 to 507 of the family's 1533-position model. The record is from RNAcentral.